This 1415-nucleotide ribosomal RNA is filed under the name Kocuria sp. RNAcentral's name for it is "bacterial SSU rRNA". It matches the Rfam family "Bacterial small subunit ribosomal RNA". The record is from RNAcentral. Lineage: Bacteria; Bacillati; Actinomycetota; Actinomycetes; Micrococcales; Micrococcaceae.
CGUGAUUACACAUGCAAGUCGAACGAUGAUGCCCAGCUUGCUGGGCGGAUUAGUGGCGAACGGGUGAGUAAUACGUGAGUAACCUGCCCUUGACUCUGGGAUAAGCCUGGGAAACUGGGUCUAAUACUGGAUACUACCUCUUACCGCAUGGUGGGUGGUGGAAAGGGUUUUACUGGUUUUGGAUGGGCUCACGGCCUAUCAGCUUGUUGGUGGGGUAAUGGCUCACCAAGGCGACGACGGGUAGCCGGCCUGAGAGGGUGACCGGCCACACUGGGACUGAGACACGGCCCAGACUCCUACGGGAGGCAGCAGUGGGGAAUAUUGCACAAUGGGCGGAAGCCUGAUGCAGCGACGCCGCGUGAGGGAUGACGGCCUUCGGGUUGUAAACCUCUUUCAGUAGGGAAGAAGCGAGAGUGACGGUACCUGCAGAAGAAGCGCCGGCUAACUACGUGCCAGCAGCCGCGGUAAUACGUAGGGCGCAAGCGUUGUCCGGAAUUAUUGGGCGUAAAGAGCUCGUAGGCGGUUUGUCGCGUCUGCUGUGAAAGCCCGGGGCUCAACCCCGGGUCUGCAGUGGGUACGGGCAGACUAGAGUGCAGUAGGGGAGACUGGAAUUCCUGGUGUAGCGGUGAAAUGCGCAGAUAUCAGGAGGAACACCGAUGGCGAAGGCAGGUCUCUGGGCUGUUACUGACGCUGAGGAGCGAAAGCAUGGGGAGCGAACAGGAUUAGAUACCCUGGUAGUCCAUGCCGUAAACGUUGGGCACUAGGUGUGGGGGACAUUCCACGUUUUCCGCGCCGUAGCUAACGCAUUAAGUGCCCCGCCUGGGGAGUACGGCCGCAAGGCUAAAACUCAAAGGAAUUGACGGGGGCCCGCACAAGCGGCGGAGCAUGCGGAUUAAUUCGAUGCAACGCGAAGAACCUUACCAAGGCUUGACAUUCACCGGACUACCCCAGAGAUGGGGUUUCCCUUCGGGGCUGGUGGACAGGUGGUGCAUGGUUGUCGUCAGCUCGUGUCGUGAGAUGUUGGGUUAAGUCCCGCAACGAGCGCAACCCUCGUUCUAUGUUGCCAGCACGUGAUGGUGGGGACUCAUAGGAGACUGCCGGGGUCAACUCGGAGGAAGGUGGGGAUGACGUCAAAUCAUCAUGCCCCUUAUGUCUUGGGCUUCACGCAUGCUACAAUGGCCGGUACAAAGGGUUGCGAUACUGUGAGGUGGAGCUAAUCCCAAAAAGCCGGUCUCAGUUCGGAUUGAGGUCUGCAACUCGACCUCAUGAAGUCGGAGUCGCUAGUAAUCGCAGAUCAGCAACGCUGCGGUGAAUACGUUCCCGGGCCUUGUACACACCGCCCGUCAAGUCACGAAAGUUGGUAACACCCGAAGCCGGUGGCCUAACCCCUUGUGGGAGGGAGCCGUCGAAGGUGA